UACGUAGGGUGCAAGCGUUGUCCGGAAUUAUUGGGCGUAAAGAGCUCGUAGGCGGUUUGUUGCGUCGGCUGUGAAAUCCCGAGGCUCAACCUCGGGUCUGCAGUCGAUACGAGCAAACUAGAGUGUUGCAGGGGAGACUGGAAUUCCUGGUGUAGCGGUGAAAUGCGCAGAUAUCAGGAGGAACACCGGUGGCGAAGGCGGGUCUCUGGGCCGAUAC
Molecule: ribosomal RNA, 217 nt
Filed under: uncultured bacterium
Lineage: Bacteria
Description: partial 16S ribosomal RNA
Rfam family: Bacterial small subunit ribosomal RNA
Source: RNAcentral